GUCGGGAUAGCUCAGUUGGGAGAGUACGUCGCCAUCUUCUGUGGGCAUCUGAGCAACAGUUGCUAACACAUCUCUAGGCGCCAGACUGAAGUCUACUUCGGUUCUCGCUAUCUGGAGGUCAUGUGUUCAAUCCACAUUCACGACA
Non-coding RNA from Knufia fluminis, 145 nucleotides. NCBI's taxonomy places the organism in Eukaryota, Fungi, Ascomycota, Eurotiomycetes, Chaetothyriales, Trichomeriaceae. The record is from the annotation of a GenBank genome assembly.